UGGGGAAUAUUGCACAAUGGGCGCAAGCCUGAUGCAGCCAUGCCGCGCGUGUGAAGAAGGCCUUCGGGUUGUAAAGCACUUUCAGCGAGGAGGAAGGGUGGUGUGUUAAUAGCACAUUGCAUUGACGUUACUCGCAGAAGAAGCACCGGCUAACUCCGUGCCAGCAGCCGCGGUAAUACGGAGGGUGCAAGCGUUAAUCGGAAUUACUGGGCGUAAAGCGCACGCAGGUGGUUUGUUAAGUCAGAUGUGAAAUCCCCGCGCUUAACGUGGGAACUGCAUUUGAAACUGGCAAGCUAGAGUCUUGUAGAGGGGGGUAGAAUUCCAGGUGUAGCGGUGAAAUGCGUAGAGAUCUGGAGGAAUACCGGUGGCGAAGGCGGCCCCCUGGACAAAGACUGACGCUCAGGUGCGAAAGCGUGGGGAGCAAACA
Molecule: ribosomal RNA, 427 nt
Filed under: uncultured bacterium
Lineage: Bacteria
Description: partial 16S ribosomal RNA
Rfam family: Bacterial small subunit ribosomal RNA
Source: RNAcentral